Molecule: long non-coding RNA, 1873 nt
Filed under: Canis lupus familiaris (dog)
Lineage: Eukaryota; Metazoa; Chordata; Mammalia; Carnivora; Canidae
Description: lncRNA (ENSCAFG00000058585.1)
Source: RNAcentral
UGAGAGACAGAGAGAGAGGCAGAGACAUAGACAGAGGGAGAAGCAGGCUCCCCGCAAGGGAACCUGAUGCAGGACUUGAUCCCAGGACCCCAGGACUAUGACUCAAGCCAAAGGCAGAUGCCCAACCACCGAGCCACCCAGACGCCCCACAGUUAUUCCAAGUUAAAUGGAUUUUUUUUCCGUAAAAUUCUCAGCACUUUUUAUGCUAACAGGCCUAGUGACAUACCAAGACAGGAAAAUUAUAGACAAUAUGUCCCAAAUUUAUUUGAGCAAGAAGCUCUUUUUACAAAGGAUCCCACAGAACUCUGGUUUUGAGGGAUACCAUUGGGGAAAAUGCUGAUUUAGACCAAUUUGGUAAAUUGUAUCUUACUUAGUACCAGAGUCAGAGCAAGAACCAAAUCUAUUUUCAAACUACUAUUUAUUGACAGGAACAUUUCUGUCCGUCUUAACCUUUUUUGGUUGCAGGCAACUCCUUUAAGCUACAUCAAAUAAGAAAAAAAAAAGUAGUGAGAGAGCAGGGAGCCUCAUCCCAGGUGACAUAUCACAGGAUUCAAGAAAAGUUGCCCUUAGAAGCAUGGAGAUUGCCAUCUCUAGCACAAAACUCAAAUUGAAAUAUUUAAUUCUCAGUUGAAUAAUGAUAAGCACUGAAGAACUCAUUGCAUUGUAUAAAGAAAAAGUAUUAAAACUAUUCAAAUUAAACUUUAAACAAAAUCAUACACAGAAACCCUCCUGAAAAAAAAAUUAAAAAUAAGAAACCCUCCUGACAUAAAUUAAGGGAAUCUUUUAAUAAUAUAUUUAAAAUUUUGUAGCUAAACUCCCACUAUCCAAAACUAAAGGUUUUUUAAGUGGAACAUUUUGAGCAAUAAUAAAAAUAGUAACUGCAAUUUGUUGAAAACAUAAAGUAGUGCAUUUAAUAUAUAUGUGUGUGAGAGAAGAUGAGAAGCUUCCCUUUAUAGUUUUCCAACUAAUAAAAAGAAAUCAUGGAAUUAUAAUGUCACCCUAAUUAAAUAAUGGAUCUAGGCAAUGAUCAUCAAGUCCCCUAAAACAUAAAAAGAAAGACACAUGAUAUUCAUUGGCCUCCUGAUGGAUCCUCAUAUGAAGUAUUCUAAAACUGUUCUAAAACUGAACAUGAAUUGGUUCAAUCCUCUAUCAAACUGGUGUUUGAUAACACCAGCGUGGUACAAUCAGCAAAAUUAAUAAUGCAGGAAUGUCUACAGGGCAAAUGCUCUGGUUUCUUCAAGAAAUAUUCCAUGGACAAAAAAGAUAGAGAAAGUAUAGAUUUAAAGACAUGGUGACUAAUUUCAGAUGUAUGUAUUUUAUGUGGAUGCUGACUUAAUAUUAUUUUUUAGCUAUAAUCAUGUUAUUUUUUAAAGUGGUUACCUUUUAGAAAUCCAUAUAGGCACUAUUUACAGGCACAUAAUUUGAAAUAAUCCAGUGGCAGGUGGGGCUUUUUAAAAAUGAAAAUGAUAAUUGUUGAUGCUAGGUGAUGGCUACACAAAGGGUUCAUUAUACUAUUCUCUCUACUUUUGCAUAUGUUUCAAAUUACCCUUAAUAAAAAGCUUCUAUAAUAUCUGUUGCUACAUUACAGUAUAGGGGCGUUUUUUUUUUUUUUUUAAAUUGAGGGUUUUCCUUGGUUGUUCUGAAGAUCACUACACACACUUCAAUUCAUAUAUAGUUCUUAACAUAUGUACCAAAAAUCUAGAAAAUCACAUAGAUUUGAUUCUUUUCUAAAAGGUUUUCUAAAAAUAAAUAAAUAAAUAAAAGGUUUUCCAAUGACCUUCCAGCUAAAAUUGGGAAGCAAAUUUUCCUUAACAGUUGAUCAAGUACCAAUAUCUUCAAUUGUCAAUGCACUGUUACAUUGUUAAAAAAAAAA